This 24-nucleotide non-coding RNA is filed under the name Drosophila melanogaster (fruit fly). The record is from RNAcentral. Lineage: Eukaryota; Metazoa; Arthropoda; Insecta; Diptera; Drosophilidae.
CUAGCAAUCAAGUGAAGUCGUCGG